RNAcentral lists this ribosomal RNA (253 nucleotides) under uncultured bacterium. Its description in RNAcentral is "partial 16S ribosomal RNA". It matches the Rfam family "Bacterial small subunit ribosomal RNA", at positions 524 to 776 of the family's 1533-position model. The record is from RNAcentral.
UACGUAGGGGGCGAGCGUUGUCCGGAAUCAUUGGGCGUAAAGAGCGUGUAGGCGGCUCGGUAAGUCCGCUGUGAAAGCCCAGAGCUCAACUCUGGAAUUGCCUUUGAGACUGAGUGGCUUGAGUACGAGAGAGGUGAGUGGAAUUCCCAGUGUAGAGGUGAAAUUCGUAGAUAUUGGGAAGAACACCGGUGGCGAAGGCGGCUCACUGGCUCGUAACUGACGCUCAUGCACGACAGCGUGGGGAUCAAACAGG